Stegodyphus dumicola is the source of this 1120-nucleotide long non-coding RNA. RefSeq lists it as uncharacterized. Lineage: Eukaryota; Metazoa; Arthropoda; Arachnida; Araneae; Eresidae. The record is from RefSeq and is a predicted model, not a curated record.
CAUUAUUUCUUUAGUUGCCCAAUACCGCUAACCCUCAUCUCAGCAAAUCUGCGGUUGUAAAUGUAACAGUAUGUGCAGACAAUAGAUUUAGAAAUGCUCUUGAUCUCAAAUGGAGCGCUCACAAGAACGCGUAUUCGGCUUUUAGUAGAACAUAUUAUAAGUGUCUGAAACAAGCCACUUUUUGGAGACUGUCUUUAUGCUUAGCUGACGAAUGGAAAUUAUGAUUUUGUCUAGUGCAUAGUUUACCAACAAGAGGUCACUGCCUACCUGUGUACCCUGAAGAGAUAUAGGGAAGCAUUACUUGUCCGAGGAGUAGGAAGAAGGCAUUAGGAAACAAGUAGAGACCAUUCGAACAAUUUCUGCAUAUAAUAUCGCGGAAUCAAAAACGCUGCUGAAUUUUGUAAAAGAACUCUUCAUCUUCUAGCCUCAAAAGGGAUGACUGUUGACGUACAGUGGAUCCUGGGUCACGUUUGAAUAACUGGUAAUGAGUGGGCUGGUAAACUAGGUAAAAAAGGAACUGAAAUUUUGAAAUCAAAUAAUAACAUAAUACCAUUUAUAUGAACGAAAAGAAUAGUGACAAACACCCUGAAGAAAAAAUGUUUAAGUUAGAAGAAAUUAAGAAGUGAAGGGAUUUGAUUUGUAAUAUCCCAGACUCUCCCAGAUCCAUCGCAGUUUCGGCGUUUUAUUUGAAGACCGGACAUGAUUCUCUCGCUAAACAUCUGCGCCGUAUUACUAUAUAUGACAGUCUCUCGUGUACUUUGUGCAACCAGAAUUUUGAGAUCGACAGAGAUAAUUUGCUAACAUGUCCUCUUUGAAGAAAGAAAACCUAUGCUGUCGAUAUUGACGGGUUAAGGUGUUGACACAAUUGACAUCCAGAGACUAAUUUGUUAUUAUUAUUAUUAUUAUUAAUGCUUAAUACAGUCACUUGUUAUACCAUUUCCUAGUAGUUGUUGUUAUCGUUUGAUGUAGUUAUUGUUAUUGUAAUGAGGUUAAUUACCGUUUUGUCUUUUUUGUAUUUCUAUUUUUGUAUUUUUUGCAUGCUCCAAUCUCAUGCAUCUUUGAUGCAUGUGGGCCAAUGAUGUAUAAUCAAGUGCCUUUGCAAUAAAAAUAAAUAAAUAAA